Apis florea (little honeybee) is the source of this 1483-nucleotide long non-coding RNA. The record is from RefSeq and is a predicted model, not a curated record. Lineage: Eukaryota; Metazoa; Arthropoda; Insecta; Hymenoptera; Apidae.
AGGGACGGUUCGCGGUCCAGCCACGUUCCUCUGUUCCGUUGUUUCUACGAGGGUUUCUUGGUUGCUACCUCGACUUUUUUCGUCCUAAUUAUUAUUCUCCGUCACAUUCUUACAGAAAGAAUAAAAGAUAAUCGAAUAUACAGAACACUUAAAAACAAUUUUUUGAAGAUAAUUAAGAAUGGAUAUAGAAACUAUUUCCUCUACAUCAUUCGUCAAUUUCGAGAUAGUAAUUGUUGAUGAAAAUUAUCGAUACUACGAUCGAUGGAAUCGAAAAUAAGCUAAGUUCAGCUUGGACUACACGAAGAGUUGAAUAUUUCUAAAAGUUUGAUAAACUUUAUAUAAAAUACACGAAAAAAUAGAUUUUUCGAUUUUAAUUGGAUAAUAGAAUUUUACUUUUUUCAUUUAUUCUUUUUUAUACUACUAACAUAAAACAAAUUUGCUAUAUUUUUCAAUAGACGAUGCAGCACAAUGUGCACAAUCGAUAAUCGAUCUAGUUUAAUUAUACGAUCAGUAUGUCGAAGUCAAUGGCCUCGAAACAAAGAACCGACACAAAAAGAAGAUAACUAUUCAAUUGUUAUCCACCUUGAAAGAUAAAAAUUCAUUAUACUUCGAAAAUUAUAUUUAUUAUAUUAUUACUAUAUUAUAUUUCGAAAGAAAGAAAAAGAAAUUGUUCCAAGCCAAACUAUUCCAGUUUAACAAUCAAACAGCGCAACAUCCUCUUACAGAAGACAAGGUCGCGUUCAGGACUCCCCUCGACUUCCCUCGUUGCUCUAUUCCUCUCGUUUCAUCCAACAGGCUAGGAGUUAGAAGAGAGGGGAUAUUAAAGGUCGCCGCAACGUGGAGAUCAAUACGAAACCUACAUACCUACCUUCCCUAUCGAGCCAAUGGGAAUGUCUAAAAUGAUCCUUCUCCUUAAAUCUAUCAAAUUUUUCUCCUUCUAAGGUUUCAGAUAUUCAGAUACAAUGGACUAGCAUGAAUCAAUUGAAUACCUAUAGAUUUUUAAUAGUCAAUGUCAGUCAGUGGUGGCCAGCAUGGAAACUUAUUAUCCGUAAUCGAUACGUCUGAAAAUCGAUCGGUUUCAAGGAACGAUUAUUGUGUUCGAGGAAGAGGAACGUAUACGUAUAAUUAGCAACAACGGCUUCAACGAGAAAGUUACCGAUUGAAAUUGAAAGAAAAAAUGAAGACAACUUUGCAUUGGGAUUAUUAUUAAAAAAUAUUCUAAAAAUUCUAUCCCACCAAUAUAACACAUUAUCAUCAUUAGAAGAAUUAUGUAAUGCUUUGAGUUGGCCGGUCUGGCUGAGUUGAUGAGGAAAGUUGCGUCAAUGGCCGGGAGGAAAUUACUUUUCCUCGUCCGUUAUUUUUAUCCUGAGAAGUGUUUUAUGCCGUUUCCACAGUUAUGGUUUAACUGUGAACCUGUCUUUUUUUCGCUUAACUCUUACGGAUAGUUCGUUUUAAUCAAAAUUAAAAUAUAUAAUUGUAUAUU